ACAACAGCUCUCUCAAACUGAAUCCAAAUUUCUUGCCAUGCAAAUCAAAAGUCCUCACCCAGAAUCAAAAAUCCAGCUGAAUCCAAAUUUCUUGCCAUUCCAAACUGAAAACCCAAAACAACCUAACCCCCCAAUCCAUACCCCAUCUCUCUUCGAGAAAGACAGAAAACCUCAUUCCGCAUCUGAGACUUUGUUUCAUAUAGCGAAAUUGUCCAAACCUCAUCACUCAUUUCAUGGCUAGCUCUUUAUCUAUGCUGCAGAUUUAAGUGUUCGGCUCCGUUCUUCCCAAUGGCACAGUCGACAUCAGAAACUCGUACACUGUUCCUCACAGCGAGAACUCCGAGCAGGGGUUUCUGGGUUAUUGGCUUAACCUUGAGGUGGAGGUGUGUGAGAGCUGCUGAGGUGUGGCUUCAAAUAUCCAAUUCCAGAGUUAUUGUUCAUGCUUGGAGACAUAGAUUGCUUCUACGUUCAAGGUUUCAUAUGCUACUGUUGUAAGAAAUUGGUCUGCAAGGUCUGAAGAGAAGGAGAAGGUUGAAUCUGUAAAUCAAGAUUAGGACAAGGAUGAUUGAGAUGGUAUCUCAAGGCUCGGCUACCUUGGAGGUUUCACUUAAACACUCGGGGUCACUUUUUAUGUACGCUGGUAAUGAGGGUGGUGCUUAUGCCAAAAACAGCUUUGGUAAUAUAUAUACAGCUGUUGGUGUAUUUGUUCUUGGACGGAUGUUACGUGAAGCAUAGGUAUCUGAAGCAGCAAAAAGCAACCAGAGUUCAAUGAUUUCCUAGAGAGGAACCAUAUGUGCAUAUCAAUGGAGCUCGUAACUGCAGUCCUAGGAGACCAUGGACAGUGUCCAAAUGAAGAUUUUGGUACUGAGUGUUUUUCUUCUCUCCUUUUUCUUUCUUGUGAUUUAAAAGACUUUAUACGUUCUCUCUGCUACUAUCCUUAAAAGAAUGGGAUACACAAUUGGAUACACAAUUGCUACUAUCCUUAAAAGAAGCAGUUAUGUAUUCUUCAAUGAUGGUUUGGACAUGGGUUUAUAUGAGGAAGGAUGAUGGAGAUUACACAGCAACAAACACAUUACUUGUCUUGCCCCACUCUCAGAGAGGUAAGAAGACACUUGACCUUGAGCGUGGAGGGUUUUUUGCCUAACUAAAUGAAUGGCUUUUGCUGCUAUUAUCGAUCAUUUUAACCCUGUCCCAGUAGUCAAUUUCAGGCUGGAUUGAUUUUACUUUGUUGAAAAUUUGGAACAAUUGAUGUAGUUUGCUCACUUGGUGGCUUAUUGAAGUGGUAGUACAAUGUUGUUAGUGGUUUCCAGGUUUUUGAUGAAUAUAUGGUACAAAGUAAUUUCCAGUUUCUAUAUGAAUGGUAUAUUGUGGUUUAUAUUUCCAAGUUCUGAUGAA
Long non-coding RNA from Rosa rugosa (rugosa rose), 1395 nucleotides. RefSeq lists it as uncharacterized. The transcript is spliced from 8 exons. NCBI's taxonomy places the organism in Eukaryota, Viridiplantae, Streptophyta, Magnoliopsida, Rosales, Rosaceae. The record is from RefSeq and is a predicted model, not a curated record.